GAUGAACGCUGGCGGCGUGCCUAAUACAUGCAAGUCGAGCGAAUGGAUUAAGAGCUUGCUCUUAUGAAGUUAGCGGCGGACGGGUGAGUAACACGUGGGUAACCUGCCCAUAAGACUGUGAUAACUCCGGGAAACCGGGGCUAAUACCGGAUAACAUUUUGAACCGCAUGGAUCGAAAUUGAAAGGCGGCUUCGGAUGUCACUGAUGGAUGGACCCGCGUCGCAUUAGCUAGUUGGUGAGGUAACGGCUCACCAAGGCAACGAUGCGUAGCCGACCUGAGAGGGUGAACGGCCACACUGGUGCUGAGACACGGCCCAGACUCCUACGGGAGGCAGCAGUAGGGAAUCUUCCGCAAUGGACGAAAGUCUGACGGAGCAACGCCGCGUGAGUGAUGAAGGCUUUCGGGUCGUAAAACUCUGUUGUUAGGGAAGAACAAGUGCUAGUUGAAUAAGCUGGCACCUUGACGGUACCUAACCAGAAAGCCACGGCUAACUACGUGCCAGCCGCCGCCGUAA
This 515-nucleotide ribosomal RNA is filed under the name uncultured bacterium. RNAcentral describes it as "partial 16S ribosomal RNA". It matches the Rfam family "Bacterial small subunit ribosomal RNA", at positions 28 to 523 of the family's 1533-position model. The record is from RNAcentral.